CAGUACGAUAAAGCCGAGAACACACUAUCGGCACGGUACGUCACGUUAUGAGCUGGCGCAUACCGCACCCUUACUUCAAAAGUGACACAACUCAAAAAUCCUUAAUUUUGAGUUAAUAUUAUCCUUCGCUUUCCCAAGAGUUAAUAUACCUCUCAACAAAACUGCAUUAAAUUAGCUUUAUUAGUUUUCCGAUAGAUGGCGCUUGUAACGCUUUUCACGAUUUAAAGCGGGUCAAGGCGACCGUUUGAGAAGUGUCACAUUUUUAGUUUAUCUCUUGCGGCUCUCCGUUACGCAUGGACACCUUAAUUUAAAAGUGUAUUAUUUUGAGUUGUGCCAGUUUUGUUGUUUGAGACGUGUUGAACCUAGAUGUGCUAUUUUUACUUGUGUCACUUUAGAAGAUCAAGGUGUGUUCAACAUGAAUAUCUCCGAGAGGACAGCUAGGAUCCUUAAAAUGGCUUCUCAAAAUAAAAUCAGUUCAAUCGAUACUACUAAAUGACAUGAUUCAUCAGAUCCAAAUACAAAAGAAACCGCAAUUCAGUAUUCCACAGUUGAAGCCUCUGAUUUUACUACAAACAGAAACAUUGGCAAUGAAAACCAAAUGAGUCCAGAACCGAGUAAAAUUGUAUCACUAGAACCUUCCGUGCAUGCUGCUACUGCUGAAUUUCCUGUAACAAAUUCUCCAAAAGGUAACACUCAUUUAGACGAACUAUUGGGAUACACAACAAGUCUGUUGAAAGCAGAACAAAGAACUGAUAAUUUCGAAUUCGACGAACAAAUUGCAGAGACAGACUGUGAUGUUGGAUUUAAUAUCAAUAAUAAAUUGGGCAUUAUUGUUAACAAGGAAACUGCCGUUACUCUUGAAGGCUCUUCGUCUGACAACAACACUGUGUUUUAAAUGUGGACCAUUAUCAAAAUGAUAGUCAGAUGUAUAAAGUGUCCAGUAAUUCGGAACGACCCACUGUUCUACGUUUGACCAAAGUCAAUUCAGAAAAUUAUUAUGUGUCACCGAUUGACAGCAAUGAAAGUGAUAUUGACGACUCAGAUGCUGAUCCUGACUUUCCAGAUAAUUUAGAAAAAAGUAGUUCUUCGUCUACCCAAGAAGAUGAAGACCAGUCUAGUAACAGGGAAGACAAUAGUAUUGAAACUGUGGAAGAUAAAAAGGGAAAAAAGCGAAAAUGACAACAAGAAAAUUGGGGAGUUAAUAAAACUAAGAAGUUAAGGAAUUCGGGGAAGGCAUACUUAUCGUCAUCACAAAGUAAAAAAAAAGUACUCUGAAGGGAAACUGCGUCCACCUUGCGACGAAAAGUGCAGGCUGGGUUGUAGCAAAAAAAUUUGUGAAACGAUUAGAAAAAAAAUAUUUUCCAGUUACUGGGAAUUAGCCGAUUUACAAAAAAAAAGACUGUUUAUUGUUGCUCAUACUAAUUCUAUUAAACCGAAAUAUCGAUACUCUUGCACUGAAAAUUAUAGGAUGAUGAAUUCGGCUUUUUAUUUUGAAGUAAACAAUAAUGGACUUAGGGUAUGUAAAUCCUUUUUUAAGGCAACACUUGACAUAAACGACCGACCGAUUCGAACAGCCUUAUUAAAAAAGACAGAAAAUGGAUUUGUCACAGGAGAUAGGCAAGGAAAACACGGUAAACAGCCUACUAUUGCACCUGAAAUUAAGAAAAGUGUAAGAGAUUUUAUAAAUGCAGUUCCAAGAAUAGAAUCGCAUUAUUUAAGAGCACAAACAAGCCGAGAAUAUAUUGAAAGAGCAAAAAGCUUGGCAUACUUAUAUCGCGAUUACAAAGAAGAAUGAGAAAAACUUGAACUUCCUUAUGCAAGUUAUAUUAUGUUUAAUCAUACAUUUAAUGGAGAAUUCAACAUUUCGUUUUAUUCGCCAAAGAAAAAUCAAUGUGAUCAAUGUGAGACCGACAAGAAUGCGGAGGAAAGGGAAAAACAACAACUCAAAAAAGCGUAUGAUGUUCAUCUUAAGGAAAAAGAGUUGAGUCGCAAGGGAAAAGAGAGAGACAAGAAUGCAAACACUGACUUGAAUGUAGCUGUAUAUGACUUGCACGCCGUAGUGCCUUUACCAAAAGGUCAAGUUUCUUUAUUUUAUUAUAAAAGCAAGCUUAACUGCUACAAUUUUACUAUAAGUGACCUAAAUGCAAAAAAUGUAAUAUGCUAUUUUUGGAAUGAGACUGAAGGAAAACGGGGGGCAAAUGAAAUAGGCAGUUGUGUCCUACAGUAUCUUAAAGAUUUUUUCGAAAAGAACAAUAAUGGAAACAUGGAAUUUAUUUUCUAUUUAGAUAACUGCUGCGGGCAACAAAAAAACAAAUACCUACUUGCUGCCUAUACUUAUGCAGUUGCAAUUUUCCCAAUAAAGAGUAUCACCCACAAGUUUCUGAUACAUGGACACUCCCAAAAUGAAGGUGACAAUGUACAUAUAGUGUCAUAGAAAAGCAAAUUAAGAGGCACAUGAAAUCCGGCCCAAUUUAUGUAUCGGAACAGUACUCUACACUCAUUCGUACAGCAAAAAAAAUGGCCCACCUUACAUAGUUCACGAACUAACUUAUGAGAGCUUUUACGAUUUAAAAAUCGUAAAAUUUGGGAAGUAAUUUCAAUAUCGACGUCAAUAAACACAAAGUUAAGUGGCAUGGAAUGAGACUGAAGGAAAACGGGGGGCAAAUGAAAUAGGCAGUUGUGUCCUACAGUAUCUUAAAGAUUUUUUCGAAAAGAACAAUAAUGGAAACAUGGAAUUUAUUUUCUAUUUAGAUAACUGCUGCGGGCAACAAAAAAACAAAUACCUACUUGCUGCCUAUACUUAUGCAGUUGCAAUUUUCCCAAUAAAGAGUAUCACCCACAAGUUUCUGAUACAUGGACACUCCCAAAAUGAAGGUGACAAUGUACAUAUAGUGUCAUAGAAAAGCAAAUUAAGAGGCACAUGAAAUCCGGCCCAAUUUAUGUAUCGGAACAGUACUCUACACUCAUUCGUACAGCAAAAAAAAUGGCCCACCUUACAUAGUUCACGAACUAACUUAUGAGAGCUUUUACGAUUUAAAAAUCGUAAAAUUUGGGAAGUAAUUUCAAUAUCGACGUCAAUAAACACAAAGUUAAGUGGCAUGAUAUAAAAGUACUGAGAGUUGAAAAGGAAGACCCAAGGAGAUUUUAUUAUAAAACGUCGUAAGAAGAUAUUAAUUUCAGAUCAGUUGAUAUGCUCAAAAAAACCCGUUCUCGAGAAAAUUAAAAUUUUGAAUCUGUUAGUCUGUCUGGAGCUUAUGUCGAAAGAAUUCCUUUAGCGGAAAAUAAAAAAAAAGACCUAAAAGAGUUAGUUGACAGAAACAUUAUACCCAAAUACUAUUAUAAUUCAUUUUAUAAAGAAAUUAUUGACUAAAAUUUCAGUUAUAUACGACUGUAAAUUUUGGUAGUUCUAUUGUUAUUCCUAGAUUAGCCUAAUAAUAUUCAAAACUGUUUUGUGUAUUUUAGCUGGUAAAAUGUCCAUUAGUAACUUUUUAGUAUUUUUUUUUUUUAGAAGUUAAGUGACUUGACUUUUACUUUUGAUAUGUUUAUUAUUUAGUACCAAAGAUAUCCUGUGUUACUAGUUUUGUUUCGAACUUUGUUUCCAUAAUUCUAGUUUUUAAGGGUAUUAAUUAUAGCCAAGUUCUGUUAUCUCUAGUGAAGCGAGGUAAGAGCUAACUCUACUGAGGUUUACCUUAAUUUUUAUUUCAAUGUAACCUUAAAAUAUGUAUUAACUAAAAAUAAAUAAAAAGGAGUUUUUUUAUGUUU
RNAcentral lists this long non-coding RNA (3762 nucleotides) under Anthonomus grandis grandis. Its description in RNAcentral is "uncharacterized LOC126737041". Lineage: Eukaryota; Metazoa; Arthropoda; Insecta; Coleoptera; Curculionidae. The record is from RNAcentral.